Molecule: ribosomal RNA, 288 nt
Filed under: Triticum aestivum (bread wheat)
Lineage: Eukaryota; Viridiplantae; Streptophyta; Magnoliopsida; Poales; Poaceae
Description: partial small subunit ribosomal RNA
Source: RNAcentral
AUGUGGUAUCUUCGAAGGGAAGUUGUGCUAAGCAAAGACAACCUCACACAUCACAACUGGUUAGGAAGCAAGAAAUGUAGUUUUUGUACUCAUGACGAGACAAUCAAACACCUCUUUUUCCAAUGCAACCUUGCAGGUUCUACGUGGGCAGUCAUCCAAAUAGCAUCAAAUCUGUACCCGCCCACGAGUGUUGCCAAUCUUUUUUAUCAUUGGUUGGACGAUAUCUCAAGUAGGUUUAAAACGCUAAUAAGGAUGGGGUGUAUGCCUUACUAUAGUCGCUUUGGUUAA